Molecule: ribosomal RNA, 435 nt
Filed under: Pseudomonas sp. K49M013
Lineage: Bacteria; Pseudomonadati; Pseudomonadota; Gammaproteobacteria; Pseudomonadales; Pseudomonadaceae
Also listed under: 1 other name
Description: bacterial SSU rRNA
Rfam family: Bacterial small subunit ribosomal RNA
Source: RNAcentral
GCGGCGGACGGGUGAGUAAUGCCUAGGAAUCUGCCUGGUAGUGGGGGAUAACGUUCGGAAACGGACGCUAAUACCGCAUACGUCCUACGGGAGAAAGCAGGGGACCUUCGGGCCUUGCGCUAUCAGAUGAGCCUAGGUCGGAUUAGCUAGUUGGUGGGGUAAUGGCUCACCAAGGCGACGAUCCGUAACUGGUCUGAGAGGAUGAUCAGUCACACUGGAACUGAGACACGGUCCAGACUCCUACGGGAGGCAGCAGUGGGGAAUAUUGGACAAUGGGCGAAAGCCUGAUCCAGCCAUGCCGCGUGUGUGAAGAAGGUCUUCGGAUUGUAAAGCACUUUAAGUUGGGAGGAAGGGUUGUAGAUUAAUACUCUGCAAUUUUGACGUUACCGACAGAAUAAGCACCGGCUAACUCUGUGCCAGCAGCCGCGGUAAUAC